GACGAACGCUGGCGGCGUGCCUAAUACAUGCAAGUCGAACGAGAGCGACCGGUGCUUGCACUGGUCAAUCUAGUGGCGCACGUGUGAGUAACACGUGGGUAACCUGCCCAUCAGAGGGGGAUAACAUCCGGAAACGGAUGCUAAAACCGCAUAGGUCUUCGAACCGCAUGGUUUGAAGAGGAAAAGAGGCGCAAGCUUCUGCUGAUGGAUGUACCCGCGGUGCAUUAGAUAGUUGGUGAGGUAACGGCUCACCAAGGCCGUGAUGCAUAGCCGACCUGAGAGGGUGAUCGGCCACAUUGGAACUGAGACAGGGCCAAAACUCCUACGGGAGGCAGCAGUAGGGAAUCUUCCGCAAUGGACGCAAGUCUGACGGAGCAACGCCGCGUGAGUGAAGAAGGUGUUCGGAUCGUAAAACUCUGUUGUUAGAGAAGAACAAGUGCUAGAGUAACUGUUAGCGCAUUGACGGUAUCUAACCAGAAAGCCACGGCUAACUACGUG
Molecule: ribosomal RNA, 498 nt
Filed under: uncultured bacterium
Lineage: Bacteria
Description: partial 16S ribosomal RNA
Rfam family: Bacterial small subunit ribosomal RNA
Source: RNAcentral